GAAGGCAAGCGGAUCUCUUAAAGCUGUUCUCAGUUCGGACUGCAGUCUGCAACUCGACUGCACGAAGCUGGAAUCGCUAGUAAUCGCGGAUCAGCACGCCGCGGUGAAUACGUUCCCGGGCCUUGUACACACCGCCCGUCACACCAUGGAAGUCUGCAAUGCCCGAAGCCGGUGGCCUAACCACUUAUGUGGAAGGAGCCGUCUAAGGCAGGGCAGAUGACUGGGGUGAAGUCGUAACAAGGUACC
RNAcentral lists this ribosomal RNA (246 nucleotides) under uncultured bacterium. RNAcentral's name for it is "partial 16S ribosomal RNA". It matches the Rfam family "Bacterial small subunit ribosomal RNA", at positions 1259 to 1500 of the family's 1533-position model. The record is from RNAcentral.